UACGGAGGGUGCAAGCGUUAUCCGGAUUCACUGGGCGUAAAGGGCGCGUAGGCGGGAUGACAAGUCGGUCGGGAAAUCCCUGGGCUCAACUCAGGGGGGUCGGCCGAUACUGCCAUUCUUGAGGGAUGCAGAGGAGACUGGAAUUCCCGGUGUAGCGGUGAAAUGUGUAGAGAUCGGGAGGAACACCGGUGGCGAAGGCGGGUCUCUGGGCAUUCCCUGACGCUGAGGCGCGAAAGCGUGGGGAGCAAACGGG
This 253-nucleotide ribosomal RNA is filed under the name uncultured bacterium. Its description in RNAcentral is "partial 16S ribosomal RNA". It matches the Rfam family "Bacterial small subunit ribosomal RNA", at positions 524 to 776 of the family's 1533-position model. The record is from RNAcentral.